Molecule: ribosomal RNA, 253 nt
Filed under: uncultured bacterium
Lineage: Bacteria
Description: partial 16S ribosomal RNA
Rfam family: Bacterial small subunit ribosomal RNA
Source: RNAcentral
UACGAAGGGGGCUAGCGUUGCUCGGAAUCACUGGGCGUAAAGGGUGCGUAGGCGGGUCUUUAAGUCAGGGGUGAAAUCCUGGAGCUCAACUCCAGAACUGCCUUUGAUACUGAAGAUCUUGAGUUCGGGUGAGGUGAGUGGAACUGCGAGUGUAGAGGUGAAAUUCGUAGAUAUUCGCAAGAACACCAGUGGCGAAGGCGGCUCACUGGCCCGAUACUGACGCUGAGGCACGAAAGCGUGGGGAGCAAACAGG